UGAAUUUGUAGUUUAAUUAGGUUAAAAUAUUAUUUUGUCAUAAUAAAGAAUACGAGUUCAAUUCUCGUCAGAUUCGU
This 77-nucleotide transfer RNA is filed under the name Plasmodium berghei. RNAcentral's name for it is "Asp transfer RNA (gtc)". It matches the Rfam family "tRNA". Rfam says of the family: Transfer RNA (tRNA) molecules are approximately 80 nucleotides in length. Their secondary structure includes four short double-helical elements and three loops (D, anti-codon, and T loops). The record is from RNAcentral. RNAcentral also lists the same sequence under 2 other names. Lineage: Eukaryota; Apicomplexa; Aconoidasida; Haemosporida; Plasmodiidae.